GACGAACGCUGGCGGCGUGCCUAAUACAUGCAAGUCGAGCGAAGCGGCGGAUGGGUGAGUAACGCGUGGGUAACCUGCCCUUAAGUCUGGGAUAACAGAUGGAAACGGCUGCUAAUACCGGAGUGGGGGAUGGACGCGCGUCCUAUCAGCUUGUUGGGGGGGUAGUGGCCUACCAAGGCGCCGACGGGUAGCCGGCCUUGUAGGGCGGCCGGCCACAUUGCGACUGAGAUACUGCCCAGUCUCCUUCGGGAGGCAGCAGUGGGGAAUCUGCCGCAAUGGGCGAAAGCCUGACGGAGCCACGCCGCUUGAGUUAUGAAGGUCUUCGGAUCGUAAAACUCUGUUAUUAGGGAAGCGGUACCUAAUCAGAAAGCCACGGCUAACUACGUGCCAGCAGCCGCGGUAAUUC
Molecule: ribosomal RNA, 406 nt
Filed under: uncultured bacterium
Lineage: Bacteria
Description: partial 16S ribosomal RNA
Rfam family: Bacterial small subunit ribosomal RNA
Source: RNAcentral